CAAUAGCGUAUAUUAAAGUUGUUGCAGUUAGAACGCUCGUAGUCGGAUUUCGGGGCGGGCCGACCGGUCUGCCGAUGGGUACGCACUGGUCGGCGCGUCCUUCCUUCCGGAGACCGUGCCUACUCUUAACUGAGCGGGGGCGGGAGACGGAACGUUUACUUUGAAAAAAUCAGAGUGUUUCAAGCAGGCAGUGCGCUCUUGCAUGGAUUAGCAUGGGAUAAUGAAAUAGGACUUUGGUGCUAUUUUGUUGGUUUCGAACACCGAAGUAAUGAUUAAAAGGGACAGUCAGGGGCACUCGUAUUCCGCCGAGAGAGGUGAAAUUCUCAGACCAGCGGAAGACGAACCACUGCGAAAGCAUUUGCCAGGGAUGUUUNCACUG
RNAcentral lists this ribosomal RNA (379 nucleotides) under uncultured eukaryote. Its description in RNAcentral is "partial 18S ribosomal RNA". It matches the Rfam family "Eukaryotic small subunit ribosomal RNA", at positions 592 to 975 of the family's 1831-position model. The record is from RNAcentral.